CUAUGUCCUUAAUUAAUCCUGAGAUGACUUGGUGGGAAUUUCAUCUUCCUUCCUGACACAAGUAAUCUGGCAACUGUUUUCUUACAUGACAUGACAUUUGGCAAUAAAGGCUUACGCAUCAAUUCUGAAAUGGAUGCUGAAGCAGAUAUGAGCAUGGAACCGAGGUGAUUAAACCUGAUAAUCCAAAGGGAAAAUGUGGAUCCUGUUAUGGAAUAUGUAAAAGAAAAGGAAAAAAAGAAGAGAAAAGAGAGGAAAGAUGGGUCUACUUG
This 269-nucleotide long non-coding RNA is filed under the name Cricetulus griseus (Chinese hamster). Its description in RNAcentral is "lncRNA (ENSCGRG00000025386.1)". Lineage: Eukaryota; Metazoa; Chordata; Mammalia; Rodentia; Cricetidae. The record is from RNAcentral.